GCUGCCUCCUGCACAUCCCCCACCGGGAAUGUGCCCGCAACCCAGGUACAUGCCCUUGACCGGAAUCGAACCCGGGACCUCUCAGUCCGCAGGCAGACGCUCUAUCCACUGAGCCAAACUGGUUUCGGCAAAAUCACAUUUUGGAAACAAAUGCUUUUCCAAAUAGAAGAUAAAAAUGGACCCAGCAGUUUUGUUGUUGCUGUUAAUCACUCUAGCUGUGAAUACUUUCCUGGUUAUCCAACAAACAUGUUAAAUUCAAUGGGGGGAAGAAAUUUGUCUAUGCCUUCAAAUAGUUUAUAACCUAGUUGGUCUGGUCAGGGUGUGAUUGUCACGGUAUGUUAUGGGAGGCAGGAUCUAAUAAAUGUCCUUGGGGGAGAACAAACAAAAUGUGAGGGGGAUUCAGUCAAGAAAGGAAUUGAGCCCUGUUGUGGGAUUAGGGGAAUGAAAGAAAAAUUCCAUUGCGCAUAACAUACAUCUCAUCUACUUACAUGUUACCCUGGAUUUAUUUUAGGGUACUUUUUUUUUUUUUAACUUUUAUCCCACCUCUGAUAUUCAUUCUGCCCUUGUGCCUUAUAUCUUUUCCUUUCAUUUGUUAGCUUCUUUCUUCCCCAGUGGUUUUGCCUGCUAAAAAUAGAUGAACAAUUGGUCUGAAGCUGCAAGGGAGCCAAGAUGAUGCAAAGGCUGUAGAAAAUCUAUGCCAUGGACCAUGAGCUGUGAGCUGACCUAGAUGCAAGAUGACCUAGGACAACAAAAUGUCUGAAUCAUUGUUCCAGCAAUAAACAUAUUUUCCAAAUGUGUUGGAGUAUGAGGUCAGAAAAGAGUUUUGGACUUGUGAACUUAUUAAAUAAAAAUUCUCAUUGAGAAGUAAACAUUAAAUCACAUUGUUCAUGCAUAUUCCAAAACUGUUAUUGAAAGCAAUGAAACAACCCAAAAUUAAGAUGAUCAAAGAAAAUCUUGGGCUUUGGGGCAUGAUUUCUUCAUUGAUGGAACUGUAAAACAAAUGUAUAGGAAACCCCUGUGGUGCUGCCUGCCUGCUACCGCAGCCCCAGGUCAUCAUUAUCCGCUGCUGGCUCGUCCUGCACACAGUCCUUCCUGCCUCACAAGUGUGAGGAGAGUAUGACCUGAGCCUUUCCGAUGUUUCAGCUGUCCUUCACCUCCACAUCUUGGCCUCCGUGAGGUCUUCUUCUGUGAUGGCUGGUUAAUUCUCAUCAUACCUGUAGGGGAGGAAAAUAAUCUUUCUCUGUCCUCUUAGGUUUGUACCCGGAACCUGCAAAUUAAACUCACAAAGACAGGUUAACAGGAGGAAAAGCAAACAAUGUUAAUUGAUGUUAAUUUUUUUUUUUACAGGUGCACAGGGACUUCCCAGAAAAGAAAUGAAAAUCCAAAGAAGUAGUUAGACCCAGGGGCUUACACGCCAUUUUAACAAAGGACAAUAAAUUGUCAAGAAAACCACUGGACUAGACAAAAGAAAGGGGCUUUGGGCUUCUGGAGCUGAUAAGUUGUGGGAAGGUGAGUAGGAAUAAAUGGGGGGAAGUAAUGGUACAUAAGGGCUAUUUAGUAAGGUUAUUUGUGCAGACUCAUCUUGGUUCCAUCACUGCCUCUGGUGAUAAAGAUUGAUCGCUUCCUGGUGGGGCAGAAGGAGACACCUGCACACGGGCAAUUUACGGCCUGCUUUUAGGCAGAUGGGAAGGGUGACGGAGAGCUCUUUUUAUGUCUGCUUUUUCCAGUUGCCUUUAGUUCAAAAUAACCCGUAUGCCAGAAUGGCAUAUUCUAUCCUCGUUACAGCCAUAUCACAGCUUGACCAGGUGGUCGGCAGUGCAAAAAAAGGUGUCAGAAUUUCAACUAGAACUUUGCUUGAAUGAGGAGCAGGUCCCAUUCCGCCAACAGUGGCUCUAGAAACUAGUCCUUUAGAAACCCGAGAGUCCUUACUUCUGCAUGUUCUGGUAGACAGAAGGAAGGGGCCUAGAACCAACAAUUCCUAAAUAGUCAUCUCUAACUAUUUUAGCAAAAACCCCAAGGCCUUUGACACCCCGUGAGACUGAUCAAUUCACUUCAGUUGAAGAAUGGUUUUCUGAAGUCAGGGUCUGAACAGCCUCUCUCAGCUGGAUGGAAUUCUCAGAUUACCAGCGUCAGAAGGAACAGGAAUUAGCAUAACAAUCCACACGAUUUAUUCUCGGAGGGGAAUACCUAGGGUCCUCUUUAAGCAGUGGUUAAUUACAUCCUGCUAUUUAUCCCAUGUAUUAGGGCUUAACUAAUUAGCACCCUGCCAACUCUAUUUUUAAUCUAUUUCUCCCCCAACCCCCACCCCAACCCUAACUCCCGGUGCCCUGUGUCCUUUAUGCCACAGUCUUGAACCUCCCCACCAAGUAACUAGGUGACGAGGUCUGUCCUCUAGGCCACCAACGCCCUUUUUUUCAGGGCCCCUUUGGAUGCCACCCUGAGUCUGAGCCGCGUCCUCUCCAGACCUGGGUGUCAUUUGGUGCAAUGAGAACGGACACAUGCUUUGGGGCUGACGAAUGUGGUUUUCAAUGUGGGCUCUGCCAUCUAGCAGCUGGGGAACUUUGGGUAAGUUCUGCUCUUCACUUUCCACAUCUUUCCAAUGGGAAUGUCACUAACACCUAGACCAGUGAUCAGCAAACUCAUUAGUCAACAGAGCCAAAUAUCAACAGUACAACGAUUGAAAUUUCUUUUGAGAGCCACAUUUUUAAAACUUAAACUAUAUAGGUAGGUACAUUGUUAUUAACUUAAUUAGGGUACUCCUAAGCUGGCCUUUGGUAAAAACGUCCUCGAUCUGAUUGAGGUACACUCGCUGAGGUCGACCCCUUCCAACUCUCCCAUCCACACUAGUCUUGUAUACUUGUAUAAUUCACAUUAUAACCCCUGUUCAUAUUAUCUGCCUAGCAACACUGUAAGAUCUGCUCUUGGAUCUUGACAAAACUUCUACAGUCCUCAGGCCAG
Molecule: long non-coding RNA, 2958 nt
Organism: Myotis daubentonii (Daubenton's bat)
Lineage: Eukaryota; Metazoa; Chordata; Mammalia; Chiroptera; Vespertilionidae
Source: RefSeq, a predicted model, not a curated record